GACGAACGCUGGCGGCGUGCUUAACACAUGCAAGUCGAACGGAAAGGCCCUGCUUUUGUGGGGUGCUCGAGUGGCGAACGGGUGAGUAACACGUGAGUAACCUGCCCUUGACUUUGGGAUAACUUCAGGAAACUGGGGCUAAUACCGGAUAGGAGCUCCUGCUGCAUGGUGGGGGUUGGAAAGUUUCGGCGGUUGGGGAUGGACUCGCGGCUUAUCAGCUUGUUGGUGGGGUAGUGGCUUACCAAGGCUUUGACGGGUAGCCGGCCUGAGAGGGUGACCGGCCACAUUGGGACUGAGAUACGGCCCAGACUCCUACGGGAGGCAGCAGUGGGGAAUAUUGCACAAUGGGCGGAAGCCUGAUGCAGCAACGCCGCGUGCGGGAUGACGGCCUUCGGGUUGUAAACCGCUUUCGCCUGUGACGAAGCGUGAGUGACGGUAAUGGGUAAAGAAGCACCGGCUAACUACGUGCCAGCAGCCGCGGUGAUACGUAGGGUGCGAGCGUUGUCCGGAUUUAUUGGGCGUAAAGGACUCGUAGGUGGUUGAUCGCGUCGGAAGUGUAAUCUUGGGGCUUAACCCUGAGCGUGCUUUCGAUACGGGUUGACUUGAGGAAGGUAGGGGAGAAUGGAAUUCCUGGUGGAGCGGUGGAAUGCGCAGAUAUCAGGAGGAACACCAGUGGCGAAGGCGGUUCUCUGGGCCUUUCCUGACGCUGAGGAGUGAAAGCGUGGGGAGCGAACAGGCUUAGAUACCCUGGUAGUCCACGCUGUAAACGGUGGGUACUAGGUGUGGGGUCCAUUCCACGGGUUCCGUGCCGUAGCUAACGCUUUAAGUACCCCGCCUGGGGAGUACGGCCGCAAGGCUAAAACUCAAAGGAAUUGACGGGGCCCCGCACAAGCGGCGGAGCAUGCGGAUUAAUUCGAUGCAACGCGUAGAACCUUACCUGGGUUUGACAUGGAUCGGGAGCGCUCAGAGAUGGGUGUGCCUCUUUUGGGGUCGGUUCACAGGUGGUGCAUGGCUGUCGUCAGCUCGUGUCGUGAGAUGUUGGGUUAAGUCCCGCAACGAGCGCAACCCUUGUUCACUGUUGCCAGCACGUUAUGGUGGGGACUCAGUGGAGACCGCCGGGGUCAACUCGGAGGAAGGUGGGGAUGACGUCAAGUCAUCAUGCCCCUUAUGUCCAGGGCUUCACGCAUGCUACAAUGGCUGGUACAGAGAGUGGCGAGCCUGUGAGGGUGAGCGAAUCUCGGAAAGCCGGUCUCAGUUCGGAUUGGGGUCUGCAACUCGACCUCAUGAAGUCGGAGUCGCUAGUAAUCGCAGAUCAGCAACGCUGCGGUGAAUACGUUCCCGGG
Molecule: ribosomal RNA, 1343 nt
Filed under: uncultured bacterium
Lineage: Bacteria
Description: 16S ribosomal RNA
Rfam family: Bacterial small subunit ribosomal RNA
Source: RNAcentral